Molecule: ribosomal RNA, 497 nt
Filed under: uncultured bacterium
Lineage: Bacteria
Description: partial 16S ribosomal RNA
Rfam family: Bacterial small subunit ribosomal RNA
Source: RNAcentral
GAUGAACGCUGGCGGCGUGCCUAAUACAUGCAAGUCGAGCGAACAGACGAGGAGCUUGCUCCUCUGACGUUAGCGGCGGACGGGUGAGUAACACGUGGAUAACCUACCUAUAAGACUGGGAUAACUUCGGGAAACCGGAGCUAAUACCGGAUAACAUAUUGAACCGCAUGGUUCAAUAGUGAAAGACGGUCUUGCUGUCACUUAUAGAUGGAUCCGCGCCGCAUUAGCUAGUUGGUAAGGUAACGGCUUACCAAGGCAACGAUGCGUAGCCGACCUGAGAGGGUGAUCGGCCACACUGGAACUGAGACACGGUCCAGACUCCUACGGGAGGCAGCAGUAGGGAAUCUUCCGCAAUGGGCGAAAGCCUGACGGAGCAACGCCGCGUGAGUGAAGAAGGUCUUCGGAUCGUAAAACUCUGUUAUUAGGGAAGAACAAAUGUGUAAGUAACUAUGCACGUCUUGACGGUACCUAAUCAGAAAGCCACGGCUAACUACGUG